AUUCGUCCAGCAGCGCGGUAUACGUAGUGGCAAGCGUGUCCGGAUUUAUGGGCGUAAGCGAGCGCAGGCGGUUUUUUAAGUCUGAUGUGAAAGCCUUCGGCUCAACCGAAGAAGUGCAUCGGAAACUGGGAAACUUGAGUGCAGAAGAGGACAGUGGAACUCCAUGUGUAGCGGUGAAAUGCGUAGAUAUAUGGAAGAACACCAGUGGCGAAGGCGGCUGUCUGGUCUGUAACUGACGCUGAGGCUCGAAAGUAUGGGUAGCAAACAGGAUUAGAUACCCUGGUAGUCCAUACCGUAAACGAUGAAUGCUAAGUGUUGGAGGGUUUCCGCCCUUCAGUGCUGCAGCUAACGCAUUAAGCAUUCCGCCUGGGGAGUACGGCCGCAAGGCUGAAACUCAAAGGAAUUGACGGGGGCCCGCACAAGCGGUGGAGCAUGUGGUUUAAUUCGAAGCUACGCGAAGAACCUUACCAGGUCUUGACAUACUAUGCAAAUCUAAGAGAUUAGACGUUCCCUUCGGGGACAUGGAUACAGGUGGUGCAUGGUUGUCGUCAGCUCGUGUCGUGAGAUGUUGGGUUAAGUCCCGCAACGAGCGCAACCCUUAUUAUCAGUUGCCAGCAUUAAGUUGGGCACUCUGGUGAGACUGCCGGUGACAAACCGGAGGAAGGUGGGGAUGACGUCAAAUCAUCAUGCCCCUUAUGACCUGGGCUACACACGUGCUACAAUGGAUGGUACAACGAGUUGCGAACUCGCGAGAGUAAGCUAAUCUCUUAAAGCCAUUCUCAGUUCGGAUUGUAGGCUGCAACUCGCCUACAUGAAGUCGGAAUCGCUAGUAAUCGCGGAUCAGCAUGCCGCGGUGAAUACGUUCCCGGGCCUUGUACACACCGCCCGUCACACCAUGAGAGUUUGUAACACCCAAAGUCGGUGGGGUAACCUUUAGAACAGCCGCCAAGU
RNAcentral lists this ribosomal RNA (951 nucleotides) under Lactiplantibacillus plantarum. Its description in RNAcentral is "bacterial SSU rRNA". It matches the Rfam family "Bacterial small subunit ribosomal RNA", at positions 501 to 1461 of the family's 1533-position model. Lineage: Bacteria; Bacillati; Bacillota; Bacilli; Lactobacillales; Lactobacillaceae. The record is from RNAcentral.